ACUCCUACGGGAGGCAGCAGUGGGAAGUAUUGCACAAUGGGCGGCAAGCAUGCAUGCAGCCAUGCCGCGUGUGUGAAGAAGGCCUUCGGGUUGUAAAGCACUUUCAGUCGUGAGGAAGGUGGUGUUGUUAAUAGCAGCAUCAUUUGACGUUAGCGACAGAAGAAGCACCGGCUAACUCCGUGCCAGCAGCCGCGGUAAUACGGAGGGUGCGAGCGUUAAUCGGAAUUACUGGGCGUAAAGCGCAUGCAGGUGGUUUGUUAAGUCAGAUGUGAAAG
Molecule: ribosomal RNA, 275 nt
Filed under: uncultured bacterium
Lineage: Bacteria
Description: partial 16S ribosomal RNA
Rfam family: Bacterial small subunit ribosomal RNA
Source: RNAcentral